This 489-nucleotide ribosomal RNA is filed under the name uncultured bacterium. Its description in RNAcentral is "partial 16S ribosomal RNA". It matches the Rfam family "Bacterial small subunit ribosomal RNA", at positions 29 to 506 of the family's 1533-position model. The record is from RNAcentral.
AUUGAACGCUGGCGGCAUGCCUUACACAUGCAAGUCGAACGGCAUCGCGGGAAAGCUUGCUUUCCUGGCGGCGAGUGGCGAACGGGUGAGUAACACAUCGGAACGUACCGGCUAGUGGGGGAUAACCCGUCGAAAGACGGGCUAAUACCGCAUACGCUCUUCGGAGGAAAGCAGGGGACCUUUGGGCCUUGCGCUAGCCGAGCGGCCGAUGUCCGAUUAGCUAGUUGGUGGGGUAAAGGCCUACCAAGGCGACGAUCGGUAGCGGGUCUGAGAGGACGAUCCGCCACACUGGGACUGAGACACGGCCCAGACUCCUACGGGAGGCAGCUGUGGGGAAUCUUGGACAAUGGGGGCAACCCUGAUCCAGCAAUGCCGCGUGGGUGAAGAAGGCCUUCGGGUUGUAAAGCCCUUUCGGCAGGGAAGAAAUCGGCGGGGCGAAUAACCCUGCUGGAUGACGGUACCUGCAGAAGAAACACCGGCUAACUACGU